This is a long non-coding RNA of Syngnathus typhle (broad-nosed pipefish), 2018 nucleotides long. RefSeq lists it as uncharacterized. The transcript is spliced from 2 exons. The record is from RefSeq and is a predicted model, not a curated record. NCBI's taxonomy places the organism in Eukaryota, Metazoa, Chordata, Actinopteri, Syngnathiformes, Syngnathidae.
CUCUAAAUGGUCGUGAUGUGGCCUGUAUCUGCCAGCAAAAAGGAACUCAAUUUGGGACAAUUUACUCGGCAGUCCCAGCACUGAUGCACCUCGGGGACAAAGAAUAGAGCGAAUGAAAGUGGAGGAAGAUAGAAUCGGAGAGGACAAUCUGGUUAUGUUGCAUCUUCGGUCACAGUUUACCCAUCAGAUCAAGUUCAAGGAGAGUACAACUGAACUGAAUUGAAAAGAUAAGUCAAUACUGAAAGUAAUUGAGCCUUCUCCUCAUGAGAGGAGUGAUUGUACUGUAUUGUCUUGCUCAUCAACUAAAACAAAAUACAUAUGCAUUAUUGUGACUCCUGAUCACACUUUGUAUUUGCUCCUUUUAGGGACAAUGUGUUUCAAUAAAGCAUGUGGAGCAGGAUAAUUAUGACUGCAAAUGACCUCAACGCUAAUGUCGGGACUUUAAUGUUCCACUACCGCGCCGCAUUUAAAGGGAAUAAAAGGGUCAGUAUUUGACCAUAAUUGAAGUCGGCUGGUACCACUGGACAGCAACGCAGAUCUCGCAGAUCUGCCGGCCUGUGCUGUAUCCACUCUGAGAUACACUACACGCAAUACUAGAUGUACCCCAGUCAUGAAGAUAUGUAGAGAUUCUGUGUUAUCCCACAUCUAAGCAUGUGACCAAAUCAGGCUUAAACCACCUCUCAAAUUUCUCACAGAUCUCAGACAAAAACCUAAAACUAAAGAUUAACUUGAACAGGUACUUCAACAUUUUCUUGAUUUUGCAAAACAGCAUAAAAUGGAAAAUUCUAAUCAUAUUAUUAUGGGGUUUUAGUACUUAGCUUAUUCAGCUUCUCUAACAUAGGAACAUAGUUUGCCUAGUAUGUAAUUGCCACAAGCUUGGUGUUUGCCUUAAAUUCACUUGUGUCACGCCCACAUGCUGAAAUCCAUGGUAAUAAUUAAAAUAAUUAUCGCCUUCAUUUUGUACAAUGGAGCAUGUUCAUUUUCCCUGUUUCGAAGUUCAAAUAUGUGUUUUGUCAGCCUGGCCAUUUGGGUCAGUAUAACAUCCCAGCUCUGAUAUGCGCAGCACUCAUCUAUGUAACUGACUGCUCGGCUCCCAGAUAAUUACACUAUGAGCUUGACGUAGUAUGAGUGUCUUGAAAGUGUGUGGGUGUGUGUGUGUGUGCGCGUGCGUGUGUGUGUGUGUGAGGGGGGGGAUUAUCUGCAGAAACAUGUCAUUUCCACUGCUCCUGUCCUUCUGGUAGACAGAUACAAUAUUAAGAGCUACAAAUCGGAGUGUGAGUUGAGAGGAGACGUUGAGUAGGUGUGGGGAUGGGGAGAUGAGGCGAGAGAAGGUAGAGAGAUGACAGUAAUAAUAGCACAUAGACAAUUGUCAGGGAGGGAGACAGCAGCAAUUGUGUGCAGUAGGAGAAGUCAUGUCAAACGACAAGGUAGAGACAAAACGAAUAUCAGAUAAAUCUAGGUAAAUGUCAGAAAAAGAAGAAUCCAGUAGUGCUGUUUUAUCUCGGUCAUAUUAUGAAUGAGUUCACCUGAUGUUUUUAUGAUAUGCUCAGUUAUAUUUAGUAUUUUAUAUAAUGUAAAGCACUGAAUGUCUUCAAUUAUUUUUCAGGUUGCUGGUAAAAAUAAAAAUACAGUAGUACCUCAAGGGUCAGUGAAAAACAAUUAUAACGGAACAUUUUCAGGAAUUUAUAAGCAACUGAUUUAGCAGAAACACUGCAACAACAUAGACAACAUUACUCUCAAUCAUAUGUUUUUCCUCUGGGCAGAAUGACUAUUUAUUAUUGCGUCACUGAUGAUCUGUCUGUCUGUCUGUCUUAUACAGCCCCAGGUAACCAAUGUGGGAACACCAGAAAGAGCAGCACAUUGACCAUUUGAUUGAUGCAAUAUGACUGUCACGUCAACUAACAGAAGCAGAGAUCAUUCAAACAAAAUAUCCACGAGAUCUCCCUCCAGACCUGCAGAGGGCAGAAAAAAAAAAACAGCCAAAUCACUGUUCAUCAAUUUUCCUGUCAGAUGCCAGG